AACAAGGCGUACCUGCGGACCUGCGGAGGGAUCAUCAUCGAAUUCACUUCCGGAGGGGGACCCAUGAUAAACCCUUCUGUGCAUCGUAAACCGUUCACUUUGGCUGGUUUUGGUGCUGAGCGUGAGCUCGUCUCCAACCUCGCGUUCUCUCCCCCUAAGGAGGGUGGUGUUACGCGUGGCGGCCUGCCGAAGUCCUCCCAUUAAAAACACGUUUUCGAACACGUCUGAAAUUUCCUUUGA
This 240-nucleotide unclassified non-coding RNA is filed under the name soil metagenome. RNAcentral describes it as "partial contains 5.8S ribosomal RNA, internal transcribed spacer 2, and large subunit ribosomal RNA". The record is from RNAcentral.